UGCGUAGGCGGGCUAAUAAGUCAGUGGUGAAAUCUCUCGGCUCAACCGGGAAACUGCCAUUGAUACUGUUAGUCUUGAGUUCGGUUGAGGUAGGCGGAAUGUGUAAUGUAGCGGUGAAAUGCUUAGAUAUUACACAGAACACCAAUUGCGUAGGCAGCUUACUAGACCGACACUGACGCUGAGGCACGAAAGCGUGGGGAGCGAACAGGAUUAGACACCCUGGUAGUCC
RNAcentral lists this ribosomal RNA (229 nucleotides) under uncultured bacterium. RNAcentral's name for it is "partial 16S ribosomal RNA". It matches the Rfam family "Bacterial small subunit ribosomal RNA", at positions 568 to 796 of the family's 1533-position model. The record is from RNAcentral.